AUAUCCAAAAGAGUAACAGUAGGUACAAAAUCAACAUCUUAACUUUGAUAUUGCGUCCAUAUCUCUUUCAUAUAAACUCCAAAUGAUUCAAAAUUUGUACCAAAAUCAUAGCCAAAAUCCUAAACUUGCUGAUUCUAGCCUCCAAAGCUCAAAUGACUCCAAAAAACUAACCCUAAUCUCUAAUAUGCCCUCAAGCAGCCUCCUUGAAGCCCAUUGGUCAUGAUUUUUGACCAAUAGGAAUGGAGAUUUUCAUCAUCUAUCUACAUUCAUCCAUAUAGGUGCCCUAACUUUUCUUUUUUGCUACCAAUACC
Molecule: long non-coding RNA, 311 nt
Filed under: Physcomitrium patens
Lineage: Eukaryota; Viridiplantae; Streptophyta; Bryopsida; Funariales; Funariaceae
Description: long non-coding RNA (PPAT_LNC008799)
Source: RNAcentral